AAGGAUUUAAGUUAAUUAAACUUGUACCCUUCAAAGAUACAAAUAAGGAUAAAUUCUUUAAGCCUUA
RNAcentral lists this transfer RNA (67 nucleotides) under Neophonus bruchi. RNAcentral's name for it is "tRNA-Trp". The record is from RNAcentral. Lineage: Eukaryota; Metazoa; Arthropoda; Insecta; Coleoptera; Staphylinidae.